ACUCUGCAAGUUUUGUUUGGAAAUGGUUGGGUCUUGGGACCCAUUGUCAAAAACUAGUCCUUGCUUUUUAGCCCUGGACCAAAUCAAAUCCAGGAGAAUGUCUAUGGCUUAUGUAAGAAUAAUAACGGCUGUUGUCUUUGAGACAGUUUCUACUCUGAAACUUGUAUUCUACUUUUCUUAACAGUACUCUCAAAAAGAAGACAAGUAUGAAGAAGAAAUAAAGAUUCUUACUGAUAAACUCAAGGAGGCGGAGACCCGGGCUGAGUUUGCUGAAAGAUCGGUAGCCAAACUGGAAAAGACCAUUGAUGACUUGGAAGAUAAGCUGAAGUGCACCAAAGAGGAGCAUCUCUGUACACAAAGGAUGCUGGACCAGACCCUGCUGGACCUGAACGAGAUGUAGACCUUCCCCAUCCCUGCCCUGCCCUGCGGCCG
RNAcentral lists this long non-coding RNA (432 nucleotides) under Rattus norvegicus (Norway rat). RNAcentral describes it as "long non-coding RNA NONRATT015472". Lineage: Eukaryota; Metazoa; Chordata; Mammalia; Rodentia; Muridae. The record is from RNAcentral.